AUUGAACGCUGGCGGCAUGCCUUACACAUGCAAGUCGAACGGCAGCGCGGGGCAACCUGGCGGCGAGUGGCGAACGGGUGAGUAAUAUAUGGGAAUCUGCCUGGUAGUGGGGGACAACGUUUCGAAAGGAACGCUAAUACCGCAUACGCCCUACGGGGGAAAGGGGGGGAUCGCAAGACCUCUCGCUAUCAGAUGAGCCC
Molecule: ribosomal RNA, 200 nt
Filed under: uncultured bacterium
Lineage: Bacteria
Description: partial 16S ribosomal RNA
Rfam family: Bacterial small subunit ribosomal RNA
Source: RNAcentral